Molecule: small nucleolar RNA, 127 nt
Organism: Astyanax mexicanus (Mexican tetra)
Lineage: Eukaryota; Metazoa; Chordata; Actinopteri; Characiformes; Acestrorhamphidae
Source: Ensembl
AUAUUCUGAAAAUUACCUUCAGCAUGGCCGUUGCUGUGGGUAAGAUAAUUGUGCCAACAGAGACGUGGUACAUUUAGCUUAUUGCCAGAUGAUAUAGCUGUGCAAUGAAACCCAUGUGCCUACAGGC